GACGAACGCUGGCGGCGUGCUUAACACAUGCAAGUCGAACGGUGAAGGGGUCUGCUUUUGUGGGCCCUGGAUGAGUGGCGAACGGGUGAGUAACACGUGAGUAACCUGCCCCCUUCUUCUGGAUAACCGCAUGAAAGUGUGGCUAAUACGGGAUAUUCUGGGUCUGUCGCAUGAUGGGUCUGGGAAAGAUUGCGCCUUUGGGUGUUUUUGGUGGGGGAUGGGCUCGCGGCCUAUCAGCUUGUUGGUGGGGUGAUGGCCUACCAAGGCGGUGACGGGUAGCCGGCCUGAGAGGGUGGACGGUCACACUGGGACUGAGACACGGCCCAGACUCCUACGGGAGGCAGCAAUUGGGAAUAUUGCACAAUGGGCGCAAGCCUGAUGCAGCGACGCCGCGUGAGGGAUGGAGGCCUUCGGGUUGUAAACCUCUUUCGCCAGUGAAGCAGGCCUGCUCCUUGUGGGUGGGUUGACGGUAGCUGGAUAAGAAGCGCCGGCUAACUACGUG
This 502-nucleotide ribosomal RNA is filed under the name uncultured bacterium. RNAcentral's name for it is "partial 16S ribosomal RNA". It matches the Rfam family "Bacterial small subunit ribosomal RNA", at positions 28 to 507 of the family's 1533-position model. The record is from RNAcentral.